CGGGGUGUGGCGCAGUUGGUAGCGCACUUGCAUGGGGUGCAAGGGGUCGAAAGUUCGAGUCUUUUCACCCCGA
RNAcentral lists this transfer RNA (73 nucleotides) under Bacteroidales bacterium. RNAcentral's name for it is "tRNA-Pro". It matches the Rfam family "tRNA". Rfam says of the family: Transfer RNA (tRNA) molecules are approximately 80 nucleotides in length. Their secondary structure includes four short double-helical elements and three loops (D, anti-codon, and T loops). Further hydrogen bonds mediate the characteristic L-shaped molecular structure. tRNAs have two regions of fundamental functional importance: the anti-codon, which is responsible for specific mRNA codon recognition, and the 3' end, to which the tRNAs corresponding amino acid is attached (by aminoacyl-tRNA synthetases). tRNAs cope with the degeneracy of the genetic code in two manners: having more than one tRNA (with a specific anti-codon) for a particular amino acid; and 'wobble' base-pairing, i.e. permitting non-standard base-pairing at the 3rd anti-codon position. Lineage: Bacteria; Pseudomonadati; Bacteroidota; Bacteroidia; Bacteroidales. The record is from RNAcentral.